RNAcentral lists this ribosomal RNA (462 nucleotides) under uncultured bacterium. RNAcentral describes it as "partial 16S ribosomal RNA". It matches the Rfam family "Bacterial small subunit ribosomal RNA", at positions 28 to 507 of the family's 1533-position model. The record is from RNAcentral.
GACGAACGCUGGCGGCGUGCUUAACACAUGCAAGUCGAACGAAAAGGCCAUUAGGGGUACUCGAUUGCCGAACGGGUGAGUAAGACGGUGGUGAUCUGCCAUGCACUUUGUGAUAAGCGUGGGAAACUGGGUAUAAUACGCAAUAGGAGCACACUAUUUAUGGUGGGAGGGGUAAAGAGUGUGAGGUGUGUGAUGGGCCCGCGGGAGAUCAGCUCGUUGGGGGGGUAAUGGCCGACCAAGGAGACGAUGGGUAGCCGGCCUGAGAGGGUGACCGGCCACACUGGGACUGAGAGACGGCCCAGACUGCUACGGGAGGCAGCAGUGGGGAAUAUUGCACAAUGGGCGCAAGCCUGAUGCAGCGACGCCGCGUGAGGGAUGACGGCCUUCGGGUUGUAAACCUCUUUCAAUAGGGACGAAGCGCAAGUGACGGUACCUAUAGAAGAAGCACCGGCCAACUACGUG